GUUCCAUACAAUAACCAUUUGCAGGCUAGCUUAGCCAGGAGCAAGCACAAGAAUGAAUGGGCAUAGCUGCGAUUUCUCCCUAGAGAAACUAAAUUGCAGGUUAGCCAGGAGCUAACGCAUGCAUGACAAAAAGACCAGAAGACUCUUACAAGACCAAGAGAUAGGGUUUGCAGGUUAGCCAGGAGCUAACACAUGCAUAUGCCAUGAAAACUGGAAUACACUACGAUACUUUGUCGGACGUGCGCUUGCAGGUUAGCGAGGCGCUAACGCGGUGCAUAUGUGCACUUCACGACCUUAUUUC
Molecule: long non-coding RNA, 301 nt
Filed under: Oryza sativa (Asian cultivated rice)
Lineage: Eukaryota; Viridiplantae; Streptophyta; Magnoliopsida; Poales; Poaceae
Description: long non-coding RNA (OSAT_LNC000632)
Source: RNAcentral